This 230-nucleotide ribosomal RNA is filed under the name uncultured bacterium. RNAcentral's name for it is "partial 16S ribosomal RNA". It matches the Rfam family "Bacterial small subunit ribosomal RNA", at positions 563 to 791 of the family's 1533-position model. The record is from RNAcentral.
AAGCGUGCGCAGGCGGUUAUGUAAGACAGAUGUGAAAUCCCCGGGCUCAACCUGGGAACUGCAUUAGUGACUGCAUAGCUGGAGUACGGCAGAGGGGGAUGGGAAUUCCGCGUGUAGCAGUGAAAUGCGUAGAUAUGCGGAGGAACACCGAUGGCGAAGGCAAUCCCCUGGGCCUGUACUGACGCUCAUGCACGAAAGCGUGGGGAGCAAACAGGAUUAGAUACCCUAGU